UACAGAGGGUGCUAGCGUUGUUCGGAAUUACUGGGCGUAAAGCGCACGUAGGCGGCUUUGUAAGUUAGAGGUGAAAGCCCGGGGCUCAACUCCGGAAUUGCCUUUAAGACUGCAUCGCUAGAAUUGUGGAGAGGUAAGUGGAAUUCCGAGUGUAGAGGUGAAAUUCGUAGAUAUUCGGAAGAACACCAGUGGCGAAGGCGACUUACUGGACACAUAUUGACGCUGAGGUGCGAAAGCGUGGGGAGCAAACAGG
RNAcentral lists this ribosomal RNA (253 nucleotides) under uncultured bacterium. Its description in RNAcentral is "partial 16S ribosomal RNA". It matches the Rfam family "Bacterial small subunit ribosomal RNA", at positions 524 to 776 of the family's 1533-position model. The record is from RNAcentral.